This 68-nucleotide transfer RNA is filed under the name Pilophorus typicus. RNAcentral describes it as "tRNA-Gln". The record is from RNAcentral. Lineage: Eukaryota; Metazoa; Arthropoda; Insecta; Hemiptera; Miridae.
UAUAUUUUGGUGUAUGGGCAUUUAGGGUUUUGAUCUCUAAGGUUUUAGUUAAUUUCUAAAAAAUAUAA